AGUAGCCUGGCUUCUCCGGGAGCUGAGGGUGAGCAUCAUGCCUGCUCCAUCUCCCUCUUUGUUGUGGAUAAGGCAGGUAGGAAGAAUGACGGAUUGCCUUACCCUUUCUAAUUGUUGUGUGCUCUCCAUACCCCACCCAAUCCUACUUCAACAUUGUCACCUAAGGAUUCACAAACCCACCCUUGUGCGAAUCCAGCCGUCUGUGUUCUAGACUGGCAAGGACCAUAUCUGAUUCUGAGAUGCUCAGGAAGGUGUGCUCCCAAUUGGCCCUUGUCCAGACUAGUUUACUUGCUGAGUAUCCCCAGGGCACAGGAACAAUCAUUUGGGGUUGCGGCUUUGUUCAUAGGGUCAUCAAGACAGGAGGAUAUGAGGCAGAAUCACCACACAAGGUAAGAGUACAUUUAGAAAUUCUCUUGAGUAAAUAAUACUGGCUUUAUCACUAUGCUUAUUUCUGUGUUUCUACUUGCUCUCAGAUUUUGGCUUGGUUAUUUCUUACUAUCUUGUUAGCUCUUUGAUGCCUCUAGUUUUGUUUUUAUUUUUGAUAUUGUUGUUUUCUUUUCUUUUUUUUUUGAGAUGGAGUCUCGCUCUGUCACCCAGGCUGGAGGCCAGUGUCACAAUCUCAGCUCACUGCAGCCUCCGCCUCCCGGGUUCAAGUGAUUCUCUUGCCUCAGCCUCCCGAGUAGCUGGGAUUACAGGUGCCCACAACCAUGCCAGGCUAAUUUUUGUAUUUUUAGUAGAGACAGGGUUUCAUCACGUUGGCCAGGCUGGUCUCAAACUCCUGACCUCAGGUGAUCCACCUGCCUCGGCCUCCCAAAGUGCUGGGAUUAUGGGUGUGAGCCACUGCGUCCAGCCAUUGUUGUUUUUUUUUCUGAUUUAGCCACAUUUUUUGUUAUUUUCAGUGGGAGAAUGGUCCAAAAUAUCUUGGUUGCCAUAUUGUCAGAAAUGGAAAUCUUCUAUUGAUUUUUAAAUUUCAUCAUUCUUAUUUUUCAUUCUUAUUUAAUUCUUCAUUUAAUUGGUUCUUUAAAUCUCUUUGACAUUUUAAGAUAAUUUCUCAUUUCCUGCCUGUAUUUUCAAGGUUGUUUGAUAUUUCUCUAAAAUUGUUAAACAUAGUAUUUUGUAUUUUGUAUAUAAGUCCAAUAUCGAAAACACCCAUCCUGCCACUACAAGAAAAGUUUUGCCCAAGAAUGAACCAACGUAGAGAAAAACAGAGCUAAGACAAACCAAGGCUAACUGCUGAUUUAAGUCCCUAGAUCCAGCUAUUCUUGAAGCCUUCUCAGUUACACAAACCAAUAAUACUUACUUUUUUUACUUAAACUAUUUUCUGUUUCCAUUACUUACAACCAAAAUAGUCCUGAUUAAUACAUAGAAUAAUGUGAAUUUUUAUUUUUAUUCUGAUUUUUAUUCUGACUUUAUAAAAAAGAACUUUUACAAUUAUCCAUUAUGCUUGGAUAAAUGCGUGUGUAAAUAUUUGUUUGGGGUGGAGGAUGUACACUGAAAUGUUAACAUUAGAUUUCUGCGGAGGAUGAGUUGGAAGGAAUGAAGGAGACAUUAAUAUCUUUUUCUGGCAGGGCACGGUGGCUCACACCUGUAAUCCCAGCAUUUUGGAAGGUGGAGGUGGGCGGAUCACCUGAGGUCGGGAGUUCGAGACCAGCCUGACCAACAUGGAGAAACCCCGUCUCUAUUAAAACAUACAAAAAUUAGCUGGGUGCGGUGGCAGGCGCCUGUAAUCCCAGCUACUUGGGAGGCUGAGGCAGGAGAAUCGCUUGAACCUGGGAGGCGGAGGUUGCAGUGAGCUGAGAUCGCGCCAUUGCACUCUAGCCUGGGCAACAAGAGUGAAACUCCGUCUCAAAAAAAAAGAAAAAAAUCUUUUUCUUUGUCACCUAUGCAAUGUUUGACCUGCAAGUGCUUGUAUCUUUUGUAAUUGUUUAAAUCCCUCAAAAUUUUAAAUGAGUAUUGAAUAUAUUUUGUGUUUUUCCAAAUAUAAGAUUCUAUAAAGAAGAGAAUGAUGUAAGUGACCCGGGGGCAAUGGGGGGAGCUUAAAUUUGAAACUAGAAAAAAUUUUGAACAAAAUAAUCAUAAUUGUUAGCUGAUGAAAAACUAGAAAAUAUUUUCUGAGUAAAUUCUUGAUUUCAGAAAUUAACUAUAAUUUAUAUUGCUCUUAAUAUCUUACCCUUGAAUAUAAAUGAUUAAUGCCCUUUAAAAUGUCCUUUUUUCUAGCUAACCUGAUGUACAUAUGACAUUAAUCCAAUAGACUUAGGAAUAAGAUACAGGGGGUUUUCCUGAAUGAUUCGAGUAUAUCCCCAUUCAUAUUAAGAAAACAAAGUAUUGGCCAAGCGUGGUGGCUCACGCCUGUAAUCCCGGCACUUUGGAAGGCCGAGGCCAGUGGAUCACCUGAGAUGGACUCAACGACUCUCUUACCGUCCAGCUCUCAAGUCCCUUCUCUUGUGAAAAUGGAAAAGUUGAACUACAGUUGAGAUAUUAUUCCCAGGUGUUCUUUGGAACACAGGGGAUUUCUCCAAAAGGCACAGAACAAAUUGCCUCCAAACAGCCAAGAUUCCAGCAGAAGCUGGAGUAGCAGACUACUUGGAUCUUCAAAGUACCUGGCCCUGAGUCAGUUAAGGAAGAUCUUUUCUUCUCUUUUGUACAAUCCUAUGAUGAGAGCUGCAAAGUGAACUGACUAAGAGCUUCUGCCUUGAUCAUUGACCUCCCAAUCCUAAUAAUAUGUUCACUGGCCAAACUUCCUAAUCGAUUUGUCUUUUGGAUAUAACG
RNAcentral lists this long non-coding RNA (2769 nucleotides) under Homo sapiens (human). RNAcentral describes it as "HSALNT0315046". Lineage: Eukaryota; Metazoa; Chordata; Mammalia; Primates; Hominidae. The record is from RNAcentral.